Molecule: ribosomal RNA, 465 nt
Filed under: uncultured bacterium
Lineage: Bacteria
Description: partial 16S ribosomal RNA
Rfam family: Bacterial small subunit ribosomal RNA
Source: RNAcentral
GACGAACGCUGGCGGCGUGCUUAACACAUGCAAGUCGAACGGAAAGGCCCUGCUUGCAGGGUACUCGAGUGGCGAACGGGUGAGUAACACGUGGGUGAUCUGCCCUGCACUUCGGGAUAAGCCUGGGAAACUGGGUCUAAUACCGGAUAGGAGCCAUUUUUAGUGUGAUGGUUGGAAAGUUUUUUCGGUGUAGGAUGAGCUCGCGGCCUAUCAGCUUGUUGGUGGGGUAAUGGCCUACCAAGGCGGCGACGGGUAGCCGGCCUGAGAGGGUGGACGGCCACAUUGGGACUGAGAUACGGCCCAGACUCCGACGGGAGGCAGCAGUGGGGAAUAUUGCACAAUGGGCGCAAGCCUGAUGCAGCGACGCCGCGUGGGGGAUGACGGCCUUCGGGUUGUAAACGCCUUUCGCUAGGGACGAAGCUUUUUGUGACGGUACCUAGAUAAGAAGCACCGGCUAACUACGUG